Molecule: ribosomal RNA, 500 nt
Filed under: uncultured Glomeromycotina
Lineage: Eukaryota; Fungi; Glomeromycota
Description: partial small subunit ribosomal RNA
Rfam family: Eukaryotic small subunit ribosomal RNA
Source: RNAcentral
CCAAUAGCGUAUAUUAAAGUUGUUGCAGUUAAAAAGCUCGUAGUUGAAUUUCGGGGUUAGUAGGUUGGUCAUGCCUCUGGUAUGUACUGGUCUCACUGAUUCCUCCUUCCUGAUGAACCUUAAUGCCAUUAAUUUGGUGUUUUGGGGAAUUUGGACUGUUACUUUGAAAAAAUUAGAGUGUUUAAAGCAAGCUAACGCUUGAAUACAUUAGCAUGGAAUAAUGAAAUAGGACGUUCGAUCCUAUUUUGUUGGUAUCUAGGAUUGACGUAAUGAUUAAUAGGGAUAGUUGGGGGCAUUAGUAUUCAAUUGUCAGAGGUGAAAUUCUUGGAUUUAUUGAAGACUAACUACUGCGAAAGCAUUUGCCAAGGAUGUUUUCAUUAAUCAAGAACGAAAGUUAGGGGAUCGAAGACGAUCAGAUACCGUCGUAGUCUUAACCAUAAACUAUGCCGACUAGGGAUCGGAUGAUGUUAAUUUUUUAAUGACUCAUUCGGCGCCUUACG